RNAcentral lists this ribosomal RNA (274 nucleotides) under uncultured bacterium. RNAcentral's name for it is "partial 16S ribosomal RNA". It matches the Rfam family "Bacterial small subunit ribosomal RNA", at positions 523 to 796 of the family's 1533-position model. The record is from RNAcentral.
AUACGGAGGGUCCAAGCGUUAUCCGGAAUCAUUGGGUUUAAAGGGUCCGCAGGCGGUCAAUUAAGUCAGAGGUGAAAGCCCAUCGCUCAACGCUGGAACUGCCUUUGAUACUGGUUGACUUGAGUUAUACGGAAGUAGAUAGAAUAAGUAGUGUAGCGGUGAAAUGCAUAGAUAUUACUUAGAAUACCGAUUGCGAAGGCAGUCUACUACGUAUAUACUGACGCUGAGGGACGAAAGCGUGGGGAGCGAACAGGAUUAGAAACCCCAGUAGUCC